Molecule: ribosomal RNA, 378 nt
Filed under: uncultured bacterium
Lineage: Bacteria
Description: bacterial SSU rRNA
Rfam family: Bacterial small subunit ribosomal RNA
Source: RNAcentral
UAAUACGUAGGGGGCGAGCGUUGUCCGGAUUUAUUGGGCGUAAAGAGCUCGUAGGCGGCUGUUCGAGUCGGGUGUGAAACCCCAGGGCUUAACUCUGGGCCUGCAUUCGAUACUGGGCGGCUUGAGUCUGGUAGGGGGAUCUGGAAUUCCUGGUGUAGCGGUGGAAUGCGCAGAUAUCAGGAGGAACACCGGUGGCGAAGGCGGGAUCCUGGGCCAGUACUGACGCUGAGGAGCGAAAGCGUGGGGAGCAAACAGGAUUAGAUACCCUGGUAGUCCACGCUGUAAACGAUGGGUGCUAGGUGUGGGGGGUUAUCGACUCCCUCCGUGCCGCAGCUAACGCAUUAAGCACCCCGCCUGGGGAGUACGGCCGCAAGGCUA